Molecule: ribosomal RNA, 253 nt
Filed under: uncultured bacterium
Lineage: Bacteria
Description: partial 16S ribosomal RNA
Rfam family: Bacterial small subunit ribosomal RNA
Source: RNAcentral
UACAGGGGGUGCAAACGUUGCUCGGAAUUAUUGGGCGUAAAGCGCGCGUAGGCGGCUACUUAAGUCGGAUGUGAAAGCCCUUGGCUCAACUGAGGAAGUGCACCCGAAACUGAGUGGCUUGAGUACCAAAGAGGGUCGCGGAAUUCCCGGUGUAGAGGUGAAAUUCGUAGAUAUCGGGAGGAACACCGGUGGCGAAGGCGGCGACCUGGGUGGAUACUGACGCUGAGGCGCGAAAUCGUGGGGAGCAAACAGG